RNAcentral lists this ribosomal RNA (208 nucleotides) under uncultured bacterium. RNAcentral's name for it is "partial 16S ribosomal RNA". It matches the Rfam family "Bacterial small subunit ribosomal RNA", at positions 568 to 774 of the family's 1533-position model. The record is from RNAcentral.
UGCGUAGGCGGUCCGAUAAGUCCGUCGUGAAAUCUUCACCGCUCAACGGGAAGGUGUCGCUGGAAACUGUCGGGCUAGAGUGCCGGAGAGGUGAGUGGAAUUCCUGGUGGAGCGGUGGAAUGCUUAGAUAUCAGGAAGAACACCGGUGGCGAAGGCGACUCACUGGCCGGCUACUGACGCUGAGGCACGAAAGCCAGGGGAGCGAACG